GGAUUCAGCUCACUGUGCUCUAAGGCAACUUUCAUAGCAGAAAUGCUAUGAUUUGGUAAUUCUAAGCAUCUGAGAAUGUUUUCUUUGGCCCUUGGCCAUCCCAGGAUGUUUGAUAAAAUCUGAUCAUUUGGAUAAGUCCCAGGAAAGGAACAGAUCAGAGCCUGCGUUGGGUGCUGGGAGCCCACCUGAUGGGAGAGUGUGUGUACAUGUGGUGGGGAAUAGGGAGCAUGGUAAAGUGUGGAGAAAGAGAACGAGAAAGAAUUAAAGAUUAUUCAACUUGUUCCAAAUAUAGAAACUGAGCCCCAGAGAAGGAAAUGAUUCGUUCAAGUUUUACAGCUAGUUAAAGGCAGAACUGGGAUUAGAAUUAAUACAUUCCUGGAUUCUUUCCCCUACAGUGAGGAUGACAAAUACAUUUCCUUUUCUGCCCUCUGAUCAAUUAGCAGUGGCUGCCUUGAGCACUGACUUCUGGAAGGUUCCCAGGUCCUUCAAAAUUCAGCAAGAAGAAUGUUGAUUGAUUAGCAAUGUCUGAUAUGGCCACAGGAAAGGAGAGUACCCAGAUUUUGUCAGCCAGGACUUACCAGGACUUGUGAUAAAACAAAAUCGCCAGUGGGGAACUUGAGGCUCAUUCCUCAUAGAGAACCAACAGGCUCCAAAUCACCAAACUUCUUUGCCUCUCUGGGAAAACUAAAUGACCCACCAU
Molecule: long non-coding RNA, 700 nt
Filed under: Pongo abelii (Sumatran orangutan)
Lineage: Eukaryota; Metazoa; Chordata; Mammalia; Primates; Hominidae
Description: lincRNA
Source: RNAcentral